UUAAGCAUAUCAAUAAGCGGAGGAAAAGAAACCAACAGGGAUUGCCUCAGUAACGGCGAGUGAAGCGGCAAAAGCUCAAAUUUGAAACCGGAAACGGGUUGUAAUUUGAAGAUUGUGUUUUGGGGACGACCGUGUCUAUGUUCCUUGGAACAGGACGUCACAGAGGGUGAGAAUCCCGUGCGAUGCGGCCUCCGUCCCUAUAUAAAACACUCUCAAAGAGUCGAGUUGUUUGGGAAUGCAGCUCAAAGUGGGUGGUAAAUUCCAUCUAAAGCUAAAUACUGGCGAGAGACCGAUAGCGAACAAGUACAGUGAUGGAAAGAUGAAAAGCACUUUGAAAAGAGAGUGAAACAGUACGUGAAAUUGUUGAAAGGGAAGGGCAUGCCGUCAGAUUGCCAGUAUCGGUUGAUUGGGGUGGAUAAAAGUGUUGGAACGUGGCCUUCGGGUGUUAUAGCCUUCACCAAUACACCCUAACCGACCGAGGACUGCUUUUAGGAUACUGGCGUAAUGACGGUACGCCGCCCGUCUUGA
RNAcentral lists this ribosomal RNA (528 nucleotides) under Kodamaea kaohsiungensis (nom. inval.). RNAcentral's name for it is "eukaryotic LSU rRNA". It matches the Rfam family "Eukaryotic large subunit ribosomal RNA", at positions 34 to 657 of the family's 3401-position model. Lineage: Eukaryota; Fungi; Ascomycota; Pichiomycetes; Serinales; Debaryomycetaceae. The record is from RNAcentral.